UUAUACAGCGAAACUGCGAAUGGCUCAUUAUAUAAGUUAUCGUUUAUUUGAUAGUACCUUACUACUUGGAUAACCGUGGUAAUUCUAGAGCUAAUACAUGCUAAAAAUCCCGACUUCGGAAGGGAUGUAUUUAUUAGAUUAAAAACCAAUGCCCUCUGGGCUCUCUGGUGAUUCAUGAUAACUUCUCGAAUCGCAUGGCCUUGCGCCGGCGAUGGUUCAUUCAAAUUUCUUCCCUAUCAACUUUCGAUGUUUGGGUAGUGGCCAAACAUGGUUGCAACGGGUAACGGAGGGUUAGGGCUCGACCCCGGAGAAGGAGCCUGAGAAACGGCUACUACAUCCAAGGAAGGCAGCAGGCGCGCAAAUUACCCAAUCCCGAUUCGGGGAGGUAGUGACAAUAAAUACUGAUACAGGGCUCUUUUGGGUCUUGUAAUUGGAAUGAGUACAAUUUAAAUCCCUUAACGAGGAACAAUUGGAGGGCAAGUCUGGUGCCAGCAGCCGCGGUAAUUCCAGCUCCAAUAGCGUAUAUUAAAGUUGUUGUGGUUAAAAAGCUCGUAGUUGAACCUUGGGCCUGGCUGGCCGGUCCGCCUCACCGCGUGUACUGGUCCGGCCGGGCCUUUCCCUCUGUGGAACCCCAUGCCCUUCACUGGGUGUGGCGGGGAAACAGGACUUUUACUUUGAAAAAAUUAGAGUGCUCCAGGCAGGCCUAUGCUCGAAUACAUUAGCAUGGAAUAAUAAAAUAGGACGCGCGGUUCUAUUUUGUUGGUUUCUAGGACCGCCGUAAUGAUUAAUAGGGACAGUCGGGGGCAUCAGUAUUCAAUUGUCAGA
This 825-nucleotide ribosomal RNA is filed under the name Keithomyces neogunnii. RNAcentral describes it as "SSU rRNA". It matches the Rfam family "Eukaryotic small subunit ribosomal RNA", at positions 74 to 909 of the family's 1831-position model. The record is from RNAcentral. Lineage: Eukaryota; Fungi; Ascomycota; Sordariomycetes; Hypocreales; Clavicipitaceae.